UCAGAUUGAACGCUGGCGGCAGGCCUAACACAUGCAAGUCGAGCGGAUGAAGGGAGCUUGCUCCUGGAUUCAUCGGCGGACGGGUGAGUAAUGCCUAGGAAUCUGCCUGGUAGUGGGGGGAUAACGUCCGGAAACGGGCGCUAAUACCGCAUACGUCCUGAGGGAGAAAGUGGGGGAUCUUCGGACCUCACGCUAUCAGAUGAGCCUAGGUCGGAUUAGCUAGUUGGUGGGGUAAAGGCCUACCAAGGCGACGAUCCGUAACUGGUCUGAGAGGAUGAUCAGUCACACUGGAACUGAGACACGGUCCAGAGUCCUACGGGAGGCAGCAGUGGGGAAUAUUGGACAAUGGGCGAAAGCCUGAUCCAGCCAUGCCGCGUGUGUGAAGAAGGUCUUCGGAUUGUAAAGCACUUUAAGUUGGGAGGAAGGGCAGUAAGUUAAUACCUUGCUGUUUUGACGUUACCAACAGAAUAAGCACCGGCUAACUUCGUGUCAGCAGCCGCGGUAAUACGAAGGGUGCAAGCGUUAAUCGGAAUUACUGGGCGUAAAGCGCGCGUAGGUGGUUCAGCAAGUUGGAUGUGAAAUCCCCGGGCUCAACCUGGGAACUGCAUCUAAAACUACUGAGCUAGAGUACGGUAGAGGGUGGUGGAAUUUCCUGUGUAGCGGUGAAAUGCGAGAUAUAGGAAGGAACACCAGUGGCGAAGGCGACCACCUGGACUGAUACUGACACUGAGGUGCGAAAGCGUGGGGAGCAAACAGGAUUAGAUAGCCUGGUAGUCCACGCCGUAAACGAUGUCGACUAGCCGUUGGGAUCCUUGAGAUCUUAGUGGCGCAGCUAACGCGAGAAGUCGACCGCCUGGGGAGUACGGCCGCAAGGUUAAAACUCAAAUGAAUUGACGGGGGCCCGCACAAGCGGUGGAGCAUGUGGUUUAAUUCGAAGCAACGCGAGAACCUUACCUGGCCUUGACAUGCUGAGAACUUUCCAGAGAUGGAGUGGUGCCUUCGGGAACUCAGACACAGGUGCUGCAUGGCUGUCGUCAGCUCG
Molecule: ribosomal RNA, 1042 nt
Filed under: uncultured Pseudomonas sp.
Lineage: Bacteria; Pseudomonadati; Pseudomonadota; Gammaproteobacteria; Pseudomonadales; Pseudomonadaceae
Description: bacterial SSU rRNA
Rfam family: Bacterial small subunit ribosomal RNA
Source: RNAcentral